RNAcentral lists this ribosomal RNA (1533 nucleotides) under Triticum aestivum (bread wheat). RNAcentral describes it as "partial small subunit ribosomal RNA". Lineage: Eukaryota; Viridiplantae; Streptophyta; Magnoliopsida; Poales; Poaceae. The record is from RNAcentral.
AUGGAUGUCCUUUUCUCUGCAAUUGUAGGUGACCUCAUCAGCAGGUCUGUGUCCUUCAUGAUCAGCCGAUACUCCCAGCAGCAGCCUGGCACCGACAAGAUUGUGCAGAGGCUGCAGAGACUUCUAAUGAGAAUCGACACCGUCGUCGAAGAAGCUGAGGGACGGCGCAUCACCAACCAGGGAAUGCUCCGUCAACUCAAAAUGUUGAGGCAAGGUAUGUACAGAGGCCACUACGUGCUUGAUGCUUUGAGAUUCCAAGCCAUCCGUGACAAGGAGGGGGAGGAGGUGAGCUAUUCAUCAUCUGCACUGUCUAAAUUAAGGCCACCUAAACGACUUCGUGCCUCUUGCGCCGGUGGUGGUAGCAGCGACAGAGAAGCUGUACUGUUAUCUGGUGCAAACAACAGCAUACAAGAAGAGCUGCAGCGGUUGGUCGACACCCUUGAAGACACCAUGGCUGGUAUGAAGGAGUUCCUUUUCUUCUUGGAGUCGUAUCCUCGGAUACUCCGCCAACCUUAUGGCACAUAUUUGAUCUUGGAUAAUUGCAUGUUUGGUCGGCAAACUGACCUGGAAAGGGUCCUGAAUUUCUUGUUGCGUCCCAAUGCUAUGCAUGAACUGGCUGUACUUCCGAUCGUUGGUCCAAUAAGAGUAGGGAAGAGCACUCUCAUUGAGUAUGUCUGUAGGGAUGAGAGUGUGCGCGAUCACUUCUCGACGAUCCUCUUCUUUCCAGAAGGCAGUCUCAAGAAUGAAGGACUGAUCGACCUAAGAGAAAACAAUUUUAAUGGUCUAGUCAGACAUCAGAAUUGUGCUUCUCAAAAAAGGUUGCUAAUUAUUAUUGAAAUAGCUGAGGACAUUAAUGAGAGAACAUGGAGAAGGAUGAAAUCUUCCAUAACCUGCAUGACACCACGCGGUGGAAGUAAAAUUAUAAUCACCAGCCGAUCAGAUAGAAUUGUGAAUCUGGGAACAACAGAAGCACUACGACUGGACUACCUCCCGCAAGAAGCUUAUUGGCAUUUUUUCAAGUCACUCGUAUUCGGAAGCACAAACUCAGAUGAGCAGCCGAAGCUGGCCUCAAUGGCCAUGGAAAUCGCUUUGGAACAAAGACAAUGUUUCCUAAGCGCGUAUAUCAUUGCUGGGAUACUGCGAGAUAACUUCGAUGGUCGAAUUUGGCGCACAAUUCUUGAAUGUGUGAGAGCAUAUAAACAGACAAAUCUCCUUAUGUUUGACCAGCACCCAAACCUUCGUUUGCGGGAAGAUGAACCGGUAUACUAUUGGAGAUUGGGGAAGAGCCACAGAUAUUUCUUGAUAUGCAACCAUCAUCAGUCAGAUUCCAAUGAGAAUAUUCCUAAAAUCAAUGUGCAGGACAUUCUCUUAGGAAAUGGUGGUACCCUACCCCGUGGAGAAUUUGAGGCUCUUUCAUGGAGAUCUCGCAUACCACCCUACUACAACUACACGAUAAGCUGUAAGAUGCAACCACCACAACUUACAGUAGGAAGGAAGAAGCGUGUGCAUCAGGAGGGAGAACAUUUGAUUUGA